RNAcentral lists this long non-coding RNA (888 nucleotides) under Olea europaea subsp. europaea. The record is from RNAcentral. Lineage: Eukaryota; Viridiplantae; Streptophyta; Magnoliopsida; Lamiales; Oleaceae.
UGACAUAUUGCUCUUUAAAUAGCAAUAAUUAUAAAUAAUGUGCACCUGAAGUAGCACAUUUUUUAAUAUUAUAUUAUUUUGAAUUCAUAUCUGUAAAACGUGCUUGCAAGUUUAUAAUCGAGUUCCAAGUAGUGAUACUUACUUGAAAUCGCAGAAUCGAGGUUGAAUUACUUUGCUUUUAAAUCUCCAAAAUCUAUAUUUUCUUGUACUCCAAUGGUCCAAAUCCCCAUCACAAUGGAAGGGGAUUAUUGUCCACAAUCUAAGUGUCAUUUAUUGCGAGAUUUCAUUCCAAAAAUGCGAUUCUAGGUACUUUCCAAUUUUGAGGUGAAUUUCCAUACAAAAUUUUCACCAUUUUUCUCAUGUCUUGUAUUUUCCCUCGCUUUUCCAUAACUUCUAUAUGGAAGUUUCAAGUAGUUAUUUAAGAGUUUUUAGGAGUUAUGAACUUAAAUUCUAUUUAAAACAUUCUCUCCUCACCACUUUUGAAAUCUUGUGGGUCGGGUCACCCCACAUGGGUGACCCAUUACCCAUAUUUUCUAACAUCUCCCACUCGCACAUGAUGGGGUUGAUCCGAACCACAAGUGAUAACGAAUGUCACAUCUUAGAUCUUUCUCAAGAUCUAUCUCACAAAGAUUCAUAUGGAAAAUAGAUCGUGUGACUAGCGAGUAAUAUUAGAGCUCACGGUAUUAUAAACAUGUUAGAGAUAUAUAGUAGCUCUUUUAAAGGAACAUCACAUCUCUCUAUACCCCAAACUCAUUUUCCAAUAUUAAUUCAAGUAUUUUUCAUCCCUCAAGUAUUUAUGAAACAUACUUGAAUCCCAUAUCUCAUCAUUGUAUUCACAAUUGUGUUAUAUACCCUAAAUGGUUAAACAUAAUUAAACACAAUUGUCCG